This 2179-nucleotide long non-coding RNA is filed under the name Homo sapiens (human). RNAcentral describes it as "HSALNT0294940". Lineage: Eukaryota; Metazoa; Chordata; Mammalia; Primates; Hominidae. The record is from RNAcentral.
AGUUGUAGUUUCCAGAGCUCCAGGAGGUUUUUGCUUAUGCCUAGUUUGCUGAACUUAGUACAGGAGGAGCCCAUCCUGUGCAUGUACCAACUACCAGGUUGGCAAAUAGGUUUCAUCCUGAGUGCCAAUUCUGGUCAAUGCAGGAGCUUCCUGGAGGACUUUGCUGAGACAGAAUUCUUAGGCCACCUCUGGCCCUGCAGGAAAGAGGCUGUGAUCAAUUAUUGAUCCCUGCCAGGGAUAUGCCACCAACUUACCAUCUCUAUGACUCAGUUGUAUUUCCCUAGACCCACUUGUGUAGACCCACGUGCUACCUAGACCUAUGUGUGCAGUCUUGUGGGCACUCCAUAAAUACCUGUGAAUGAAAUUUAAUCUACCUAGAGUGCCUCUCCUCUUGAGUGUCCAGUAGAUUCUGUACUUCCUCAGAUGGCUUAGCAGGUGAAAAGGGGAAUAUCCCUUUCGAGUUAUCCUUGGAAACCUUAUUGUUGGGCAGAGCAGGAAGGAUGGGGUAGAUGCCUUCAUUCAUUCUGCAGCUGUUUAUUGAGUGUUCACUGUGGGCUGAACCAUGGAGGCUGGGUGCUGGGGAUACACAGUGUGUGCUGGAGCUGGGGACAGACUUGAGGCCCCCUCUCUCUGCUGAGGUAGAGAGCAGCGAAGGCACCUCACUGCUCAAAGGAGUCAGAGAAGUCUGUGCUUCUCAGUGGCUGAGGGGCUGGGGAGGAAGUCCUCUGCCAGAGCACGGGAACCUUGGCCUCAGGCCUGACAGGUGGCCCUUUUUACCACUGUUCUGCAGGCCUCCUGGGCUCCCUCUGGGGAUGCUUGCAGCUUUCACUGAGCCAGUAAGCUCUUCUCUCGCCUGUGCACACUGGCAGAGGACUUGAAGUGCUUCCCAAAAAUAAGCUGGUUGCCCCCGGGUCCUGCUAAGUUCUGGCAGUUCCAGAAGAAGCAGAUAAAGAAUGCAGAAGGUCCUCUGCCUUCAGUCUACCAGGUUGUCUCCCCUCCCCUCAGCCAGCCCCUUCCAAAGCCCACUGGGUAGGUCUGGUUUCUCAUCCUCAGCACAUGCAAUCGUUAGAUAAGAAUGUUCCAAGAACCUGACUAGCAAGAGUUUCAUUACCACUCAUUUGGGUAAGUCAUGAUGUGCCUGUCCUUGUGAUCAGCUCCUAAAAGCUCAGAAUUUGCCAUUUCAUGCACUUAAAAUGGUUAAAGAAGUGUUUUUGGGAAAACGCAGAUGUUAAUAUUUCAAGUCACAUAAUAACUUUACAACUAUCUUGUAAAUACAAGUAGGAGCAUUUUUGGUUUCAUUUUGUAUUCCGUUUACUGAAAAAUUAAAUAAAUUAAAAUCUUACCUGUUGAAACAUGUAUAUGUGGAUCUGUUCAUGCACAUUUAUACCCUCAUGUGUAUAAGGAGCCACCAUCACAUGUGCUUAUGCAGAUGUCCAUGUGUGAGUGUGCAGCGUACACACACACACACACACACACACGUCCUCAUGCCCACACGCUAGCCUUUUGUUCUAGUUUCUGAUCUUCUGUUAUGGUUAGUUUGUAAAGAAUUGUGUGUCCCACAACGUGAGGCUUGGAGACAUAAGUGUUAGCUGCUACAUCUCCUUAACGUAUUUUUGUUUUCUCAAUCUUCCUUUCAUUACUCUAGAUAUUUGUCAUACAUUCAGUUACAAAUUCAUGGCCAUCCAAAAGCUUCCCCAGGUAUGUGUCCUUCUUCCUGCUUCUGGAGGCAGAGUGGUGUGGCAGGAUGAGCAUGGCCUUUGAAGUCACUCAUGUCAUUCACUGGACAUGAAUGAUAAGCUGUGUGACCUUGGGCAGAGACUUAAUCACUGGAGUCUCAGUCUCCCAAUUAGUAAAACAGUGGUAUGGCUGGGCACAGUGGCUCAUGCCUGUAAUUCCAGCACUUUGGGAGGCUCAGGCAGGCAGAUUACAAGGUCAAGAGAUCAAGACCAUCCUGGCCAACAUGAUGAAACUUAGUGCCUACUAAAAAAAAAAAAAAAUUAGCUGGUCGUGGUGGCACAUGACUGUAGUCCCGGCUACUCGGGAGGCUGAGGCAGGGGAAUCACUUGAACCCGGGAGGCGGAGGUUGCAGUGAGCUGAGAUCGUGCUACUGCACUCCAGCCUGGUAACAGAGCGAGACUCUGUCUAAAAAAACAAAACAAAACAAAAAAAACCCAAACCC